GACGAACGCUGGCGGCGUGCUUAACACAUGCAAGUCGAGCGGUAAGGCCCUUUCGGGGGUACACGAGCGGCGAACGGGUGAGUAACACGUGGGUGACCUGCCCUCAGCUCUGGGAUAAGCCUGGGAAACCGGGUCUAAUACUGGAUAUGACUCCAUGACGCAUGUUGUGGGGUGGAAAGCCUUGUGCGGCUGAGGAUGGGCCCGNGGCCCUAUCAGCUUGUUGGUGGGGUGANGGCCUACCAAGGCGACGACGGGUAGCCGGCCUGAGAGGGCGACCGGCCACACUGGGACUGAGACACGGCCCAGACUCCUACGGGAGCAGCAGUGGGGAAUCUUGCGCAAUGGGCGAAAGCCUGACGCAGCGACGCCGCGUGAGGGAUGACGG
RNAcentral lists this ribosomal RNA (385 nucleotides) under uncultured bacterium. Its description in RNAcentral is "bacterial SSU rRNA". It matches the Rfam family "Bacterial small subunit ribosomal RNA", at positions 28 to 414 of the family's 1533-position model. The record is from RNAcentral.